Molecule: ribosomal RNA, 301 nt
Filed under: uncultured bacterium
Lineage: Bacteria
Description: partial 16S ribosomal RNA
Rfam family: Bacterial small subunit ribosomal RNA
Source: RNAcentral
CAGCCGCCGCGGGAAUACAGAGGGUGCGAGCGUUAAUCGGAUUUACUGGGCGUAAAGCGUGCGUAGGCGGCUUCUUAAGUCGGAUGUGAAAUCCCUGAGCUUAACUUAGGAAUUGCAUUCGAUACUGGGAAGCUAGAGUAUGGGAGAGGAUGGUAGAAUUCCAGGUGUAGCGGUGAAAUGCGUAGAGAUCUGGAGGAAUACCGAUGGCGAAGGCAGCCAUCUGGCCUAAUACUGACGCUGAGGUACGAAAGCAUGGGGAGCAAACAGGAUUAGAUACCCCCGUAGUCCCUGUCUCUUAACA